Molecule: long non-coding RNA, 856 nt
Organism: Strongylocentrotus purpuratus (purple sea urchin)
Lineage: Eukaryota; Metazoa; Echinodermata; Echinoidea; Camarodonta; Strongylocentrotidae
Exons: 3
Source: RefSeq, a predicted model, not a curated record
UCAGCAGAAAGUACAAGGGCUGCCCAAGAUUUGAAUAACUCUUCUAGCCGUUGGUCUCCAAUUUCUACUCACUGAAAAUGCUUCGCAAAACUCCAAAAUAUGUGAGGAAGAGGAAGGUGUUCAAAGGAGAUCAAUACCAGAUAUUACAGAAGAGUAACAUGAAUGCUGGAGAGGUGCCAGAAGAACUAACAGCUAAUUCAGAGAUCAAGGAAGCUUUCCCUGAAUAAGUGUUUGGACAGCCCUAUUUUUGGCCCUGGUCCCACAUGUGAAGAUCCGCGUCAUUAGUGGCCCACAACUUGCAGCUGCUUUGCAAAAGGCUCACGUGUGUCUGGGAGAUUCCUCUACCCGUCCAGAUCCAGCUAUACCUCGAUCAUCCAGAACAGCAUCAACAGCACCAAGGACCCCUUCGACAUCGACCCCAUCAACCUCCAGAACACUGUCGACCCCAACGACCCCAUUGACCUCAACAUUCAGAAAUAUGGAUGUCGAAGUUGUACCACCACAAGCUAGACAAGAUUUUGAUUCCGACUAACCCAUUCUUUAAAGGUCCAUUGCCUUAGGAAAUUAAAACUUUUAUGUCUUGUAUCAAGACCCUUUUAAAGCAACAUAAUAGCAAUUGUUUCAUAAAUAAAUGCCUCCUUAUAUUUUUUACAAAUUUUUGAAACCUCUCCAAGUUGCUCGUCUAAUGGUGGACCCCGCCCCUUACAAUUCUCAGAGUUCCUCGGAAUGAUUGACCAAAGGAUUAGUGAUGUUAUAUCAAGAACGAUCUCCGCUUAGGCAAGCUACGGUGCUUGCUAGCCAGCUCUGCAGGCAUUAUGUUUUGUACACAAACAUAAACAAUAACUUUUGUUAUUAA